CUCAGGAUGAACGCUAGCUACAGGCUUAACACAUGCAAGUCGAGGGGAAACGACAUUGGAAGCUUGCUUCCGGUGGGCGUCGACCGGCGCACGGGUGAGUAACGCGUAUCCAACCUGCCCACCACUUGGGAAUAACCUUGCGAAAGUAAGACUAAUGCCCAAUGACAUUGAGUGCAGACAUCUAAUCUCAAUUAAAGAUUCAUCGGUGAUGGAUGGGGAUGCGUCCGAUUAGCUUGUUGGCGGGGUAACGGCCCACCAAGGCGACGAUCGGUAGGGGUUCUGAGAGGAAGGUCCCCCACAUUGGAACUGAGACACGGUCCAAACUCCUACGGGAGGCAGCAGUGAGGAAUAUUGGUCAAUGGGCGAGAGCCUGAACCAGCCAAGUAGCGUGCAGGAUGACGGCCCUAUGGGUUGUAAACUGCUUUUAUAAGGGAAUAAAGUGAGAGUCGUGACUCUUUUUGCAUGUACCUUAUGAAUAAGGACCGGCUAAUUCCGUGCCAGCAGCCGCGGUAAUACGGAAGGUCCGGGCGUUAUCCGGAUUUAUUGGGUUUAAAGGGAGCGUAGGCCGCAGGUUAAGCGUGUUGUGAAAUGUAGGGGCUCAACCUCUGCACUGCAGCGCGAACUGGCUUGCUUGAGUACGCACAACGUGGGCGGAAUUCGUGGUGUAGCGGUGAAAUGCUUAGAUAUCACGAAGAACUCCGAUUGCGAAGGCAGCUCACGGGAGCGCAACUGACGCUGAAGCUCGAAAGUGCGGGUAUCGAACAGGAUUAGAUACCCUGGUAGUCCGCACGGUAAACGAUGGAUGCCCGCUGUUGGUCUGAAUAGGUCAGCGGCCAAGCGAAAGCAUUAAGCAUCCCACCUGGGGAGUACGCCGGCAACGGUGAAACUCAAAGGAAUUGAC
Molecule: ribosomal RNA, 901 nt
Filed under: uncultured bacterium
Lineage: Bacteria
Description: bacterial SSU rRNA
Rfam family: Bacterial small subunit ribosomal RNA
Source: RNAcentral